This 483-nucleotide ribosomal RNA is filed under the name uncultured bacterium. RNAcentral describes it as "partial 16S ribosomal RNA". It matches the Rfam family "Bacterial small subunit ribosomal RNA", at positions 30 to 507 of the family's 1533-position model. The record is from RNAcentral.
UUGAACGCUGGCGGCAGGCCUAACACAUGCAAGUCGAGCGGUAGAGAGAAGCUUGCUUCUCUUGAGAGCGGCGGACGGGUGAGUAAUGCCUAGGAAUCUGCCUGGUAGUGGGGGAUAACGUUCGGAAACAGACGCUAAUACCGCAUACGUCCUACGGGAGAAAGCAGGGGACCUUCGGGCCUUGCGCUAUCAGAUGAGCCUAGGUCGGAUUAGCUAGUUGGUGGGGUAAUGGCUCACCAAGGCGACGAUCCGUAACUGGUCUGAGAGGAUGAUCAGUCACACUGGAACUGAGACACGGUCCAGACUCCUACGGGAGGCAGCAGUGGGGAAUAUUGGACAAUGGGCGAAAGCCUGAUCCAGCCAUGCCGCGUGUGUGAAGAAGGUCUUCGGAUUGUAAAGCACUUUAAGUUGGGAGGAAGGGCAGUAAAUUAAUACUUUGCUGUUUUGACGUUACCGACAGAAUAAGCACCGGCUAACUCUGUG